GCAAAUACGCAAUUAGUCACAAUAUAAGAACACUCAUGAGGACUCAUGACUCCACACCACGCUCUUUUGGGAAAUGGAUUCUUUGAGAUUGAGUACUUAAGUUAAUUUAAUAUGUCUUCCUUUAAUGUUACUGUGUCAGAAUGUGACACCCGAUCCAAUAAUAUCAUGUCGGAACGUGACAUCCGAUCCAAUAAUAUCGUGCCGGCUAGUGGCACCCGAUCUAACAAUAUAGUUAAUUCAUCAUUCUUUCCACUUAACAAUAUUUCAUUACACCUUCUUUAUUCAAGACAUCACCGUGAUAGAACAAAUUCAAGAUUAUGGAUUUCACGGUCUUGGGAUUACACACCAAUCACAACAACACAUGAAUCAUCCAAGCCACAACAAUGAAGUACACAGAAAAUUUCACAGAAUUACUCAAUGACUAUCAAUCACUAUUAAGAGUCUCUCUAUCAGAUAGAAUAAAUCAUAACUUACCUCCAGCGAAGAAUCGAAAUCAAGCAAGCUAAUUCCCUAAUGCUUUUCCUUACCUCCAGCGAAGAAUCGAAAUCAAGCAAGCUAAUUCCCUAAUGCUUUUCCUUACCUCCAGCGAAGAAUCGAAAUCAAGCAAGCUAAUUCCCUAAUGCUUUUCCUUACCUCCAGCGAAGAAUCGAAAUCAAGCAAGCUAAUUCCCUAAUGCUUUUCCUUACCUCCAGCGAAGAAUCGAAAUCAAGCAAGCUAAUUCCCUAAUGCUUUUCCUUUCCGCAAUGCCUCAGUAC
This 755-nucleotide long non-coding RNA is filed under the name Solanum tuberosum (potato). RNAcentral's name for it is "long non-coding RNA (STUB_LNC010515)". Lineage: Eukaryota; Viridiplantae; Streptophyta; Magnoliopsida; Solanales; Solanaceae. The record is from RNAcentral.